RNAcentral lists this ribosomal RNA (400 nucleotides) under uncultured bacterium. RNAcentral's name for it is "bacterial SSU rRNA". It matches the Rfam family "Bacterial small subunit ribosomal RNA", at positions 355 to 774 of the family's 1533-position model. The record is from RNAcentral.
UUAGGAAUCUUCCACAAUGGGCGAAAGCCUGAUGGAGCGACGCCGCGUGGGGGAUGAAGGCCUUAGGGUUGUAAACCUCUAAAAGAGGGACGAUAAUGACGGUACCUCUUGAAUAGCACCGGCUAACUCCGUGCCAGCAGCCGCGGUAAUACGGAGGGUGCAAGCGUUAUCCGGAAUCACUGGGCGUAAAGGGCGCGUAGGCGGUCUGUUAAGUCCGAUGUUAAAUCCCGGGGCUCAACCCCGGAUAAGCGUUGGAUACUGGCAGGCUAGACGGUUGGAGAGGCGAGUGGAAUUACCAGUGUAGCGGUGGAAUGCGUAGAUACUGGUAGGAACACCCAUUGCGAAGGCAGCUCGCUGGACAACACGUGACGCUGAGGCGCGAAAGUGUGGGGAGCAAACC